UGAAGAUUUACCCUGUGCUUUUCUUCCCCAGAACUCCAAACCCCAGCUGAAACACUGGGAAAACAUUAGGCAGGGCAUGGUGGCAAGACAUCCAACAGCUCUCAAAACUUCCAUGGUGACCAGAAGCAAACUAGAGGCUGCCAUACCCAAGAACAAAUGACAGUGACAUACUAACUAAACACGUUUCCUAGCCCUAUUUCCUUGAAAGCUGAAUGCUGGAAUAGGCACCUUGGCACCCUCCCUGAGCUUUGAACUUCCCCAUGGAGAGUGCUUUUCCUCAUUGCAGCAAGUGCUCACUGUGCAUGUGUUCCUAGAGACCUCCACCCUACCAAAUGGCCAUGGCCCAUUCAUGUGCUGAUAUUGAGGAGCUUCAGAUGAACUUUAGGAGCACCUUGACUGCAAACG
Molecule: long non-coding RNA, 405 nt
Filed under: Cricetulus griseus (Chinese hamster)
Lineage: Eukaryota; Metazoa; Chordata; Mammalia; Rodentia; Cricetidae
Description: lncRNA (ENSCGRG00015032782.1)
Source: RNAcentral